RNAcentral lists this unclassified non-coding RNA (456 nucleotides) under Melitaea cinxia (Glanville fritillary). RNAcentral describes it as "misc RNA ENSMCXG00005021592.1". Lineage: Eukaryota; Metazoa; Arthropoda; Insecta; Lepidoptera; Nymphalidae. The record is from RNAcentral.
GGGGUGGUCCCAAAAAGCCGAGGCUGGCUGAUGGAACCCAUGUCCCCUAUGCAGCGGCAGUGCAGUCGGACCUACUGGUUGCGGUGACAACUGCGACCGGAGAGCUCUUGACUGCAUAGGCCGCACAAUAUAAUAUUUGCAAUAACAUUUUUACUGUGACGCAUUUUUUCUUUUUUUUUUCUCACAGACUUACAAUUCAGCUGAGGUUGAAAUUGAAAUGGAAGCUGAACGUAUUCUUUUAAGUAGUCUGAGUGCAUUCGAAUAUUUUGUUACUCAGCUACCGGAGAAACACAAUAAAUGGUUGUGGGACAAAUUAAAGCCAUUCCUUGAAUCGCUCUCAUUUUGGGAUCUCUCUAUUCACGAAUCAGAGUAUGUUCGGGCGGGCUGGUACAGCGCGUGUGGGCGUAUAUGCGAGCGUGAGGGUCCAUGACUGAAUAUCUCGAGCACCCGCUUGCG